AUUGCACGCUGGCGGCAGGCCUAACACCUGCAAGUCUGGCGAGCUGCGGACUGUUGUGUAAUGUAUGGGGAUCUGCCUGAUGAAGGUGGAUAACUCCUGGAAACGGUCGCUAAUACCGCAUCCCAUCAGCUGAACCCAUAUGGGAUUAGCUAGUAGGUGAGGUAACGGCUCACCUAGGCGACGAUCCCUAGCUGGUCUGAGAGGAUGAUCAGCCACACUGGGACUGAGACACGGCCCAGACUCCUACGGGAGGCAGCAGUGGGGAAUAUUGCACAAUGGGCGCAAGCCUGAUGCAGCCAUGCCGCGUGUAUGAAGAAGGCCUUCGGGUUGUAAAGUACUUUCAGUCGGGAGGCGUUACCGACAGAAGAAGCACCGGCUAACUCCGUGCCAGCAGCCGCGGUAAUAC
RNAcentral lists this ribosomal RNA (406 nucleotides) under uncultured bacterium. Its description in RNAcentral is "partial 16S ribosomal RNA". It matches the Rfam family "Bacterial small subunit ribosomal RNA", at positions 30 to 526 of the family's 1533-position model. The record is from RNAcentral.